GACGAACGCUGGCGGCGUGCUUAGCACAUGCAAGUCGAACGAAGAGCGAUGGAAGCUUGCUUCUCUCAAUCUUAGUGGCGAACGGGUGAGUAACGCGUAAUCAACCUGCCCUUCAGAGGGGGACAACAGUUGGAAACGACUGCUAAUACCGCAUACGAUCUAAUCUCGGCAUCGAGGAUAGAUGAAAGGUGGCCUCUACAUGUAAGCUAUCACUGAAGGAGGGGAUUGCGUCUGAUUAGCUAGUUGGAGGGGUAACGGCCCACCAAGGCGAUGAUCAGUAGCCGGUCUGAGAGGAUGAACGGCCACAUUGGGACUGAGACACGGCCCAGACUCCUACGGGAGGCAGCAGUGGGGAAUCUUCCGCAAUGGACGAAGGUCUGACGGAGCAACGCCGCGUGAGCGAUGACGGCCUUCGGGUUGUAAGGCUCUGUUAAUCGGGACGAAAGGCCUUCUUGCGAAUAGUGAGAAGGAUUGACGGUACCGGAAUAGAAAGCCACGGCUAACUACGUG
RNAcentral lists this ribosomal RNA (510 nucleotides) under uncultured bacterium. Its description in RNAcentral is "partial 16S ribosomal RNA". It matches the Rfam family "Bacterial small subunit ribosomal RNA", at positions 28 to 507 of the family's 1533-position model. The record is from RNAcentral.